Molecule: ribosomal RNA, 527 nt
Filed under: uncultured bacterium
Lineage: Bacteria
Description: bacterial SSU rRNA
Rfam family: Bacterial small subunit ribosomal RNA
Source: RNAcentral
GGCGACGAUGCGUAGGGGUUCUGAGAGGAGGGCCCCCCACACUGGAACUGAGACACGGUCCAGACUCCUACGGGAGGCAGCAGUGAGGAAUAUUGGUCAAUGGGCGGAAGCCUGAACCAGCCAAGUCGCGUGAGGGAAUAAGGCCCUACGGGUCGUAAACCUCUUUUGCCGGGGAGCAAGGGCCGGGACGCGUCCCGGCCCGGAGAGUACCCGGAGAAAAAGCAUCGGCUAACUCCGUGCCAGCAGCCGCGGUAAUACGGAGGAUGCGAGCGUUAUCCGGAUUUAUUGGGUUUAAAGGGUGCGUAGGCGGGCUUUUAAGUCAGCGGUAAAAAUUCGGGGCUCAACCCCGUCCGGCCGUUGAAACUGGGGGUCUUGAGUGGGCGAGAAGAAGGCGGAAUGCGUGGUGUAGCGGUGAAAUGCAUAGAUAUCACGCAGAACCCCGAUUGCGAAGGCAGCCUUCCGGCGCCCUACUGACGCUGAGGCACGAAAGUGCGGGGAUCGAACAGGAUUAGAUACCCUGGUAGUCC